This 342-nucleotide unclassified non-coding RNA is filed under the name soil metagenome. RNAcentral's name for it is "partial contains 5.8S ribosomal RNA, internal transcribed spacer 2, and large subunit ribosomal RNA". The stretch from base 1 to 120 matches the Rfam family "5.8S ribosomal RNA", at positions 35 to 154 of the family's 154-position model. The record is from RNAcentral.
GAUGAAGAACGUAGCGAAAUGCGAUAAGUAAUGUGAAUUGCAGAAUUCAGUGAAUCAUCGAAUCUUUGAACGCACAUUGCGCCCCUUGGUAUUCCGAGGGGCAUGCCUAUUCGAGCGUCAUUAUCACCCCUCAAGCCUAGCUUGGUGUUGGGUGUUUGUCCCGCGCUCUUUUGCGCAAGACUCGCCUUAAAUCAAUUGGCAGCCGGCAUGUUAGCCUGGAGCGCAGCACAUUUUGCGCCCCUUGCUUGCUUGUGUUGGCCCCCAUCAAGUCCAUAUAUUUGCUCUUGACCUCGGAUCAGGUAGGGAUACCCGCUGAACUUAAGCAUAUCAAUAAGCGGAGGA